CCAGACUCCUACGGGAGGCAGCAGUGAGGAAUAUUGGUCAAUGGCCGAGAGGCUGAACCAGCCAAGUCGCGUGAGGGAAGACGGCCCUACGGGUUGUAAACCUCUUUUGUCGGGGAGCAAAGAGAGUCACGUGUGACUCAUUGAGAGUACCCGAAGAAAAAGCAUCGGCUAACUCCGUGCCAGCAGCCGCGGUAAUACGGAGGAUGCGAGCGUUAUCCGGAUUUAUUGGGUUUAAAGGGUGCGCAGGCGGAGGUGCAAGUCAGCGGUCAAAUUGCGGGGCUCAACCCCGUACUGCCGUUGAAACUGGCUGCCUUGAGAUGUCGAGAGGUAUGCGGAAUGCGCAGUGUAGCGGUGAAAUGCUUAGAUAUUGCGCAGAACUCCGAUUGCGAAGGCAGCAUACCGGCGGCGAUCUGACGCUGAGGCACGAAAGCGUGGGUAUCGAACAGGAUUAGAUACCCCAGUAGG
Molecule: ribosomal RNA, 465 nt
Filed under: uncultured bacterium
Lineage: Bacteria
Description: bacterial SSU rRNA
Rfam family: Bacterial small subunit ribosomal RNA
Source: RNAcentral